AUAAUGGUAAACAAAUGUAAUCAAAUUCAAAACAACUCAAAGAAAUUUCAACCAAACAAUAAAAUUCUUAAAAACAUAUUAGAAUGAUCACAAAUAUUACUCAAAUAUAUAUCAAUUCAACCUUAAAUUGAUUCUAGUUAAAACCCUAUUGAAUUUCACUCAAAAUUUAGACCAAACCUAAUUAAAUCUUAAACCCUAAUAAAUCCUAAACCCUAAGCCAAAUCCCAAAGAAACCUUAAAUUAAACCCUAAAUCAAACUCUAUUUCAAACCAUAAAUCCUAAACCAAAUCCUAAAUCAAUCCUAAACCCUAAUCCAAAUUCUAAAUCCUAAACCAAACCUUAAAUCAUACCCUAAUCAAACCCUAAUCCAAAUCCUAAAUCAAAUCCUAACCAAACCCUAAACCCUAAUCCAAACCCUAAUCCAAAUCCUAAAUCAAAUCCUAACCAAACCCUAAAUCCUAACCCAAACCCUAAUCCAACCCUAAAUCCUAAUCAAAUCCUAAAUUCUAAUCCAAACCCUAAUUCAAACCCUAAAUCAAACCUUAACCAAAUCCUAAUCCAAAUCCUAAACUCUAAAUCAAACCCUAAAUCGAACCCUAGCCAAACCCUUAUCCAAAUCCCAGUAAUU
RNAcentral lists this long non-coding RNA (628 nucleotides) under Physcomitrium patens. RNAcentral describes it as "long non-coding RNA (PPAT_LNC011782)". The record is from RNAcentral. Lineage: Eukaryota; Viridiplantae; Streptophyta; Bryopsida; Funariales; Funariaceae.